AACGAGCGCAACCCUUGUCCUUAGUUACCAGCACGUUAUGGUGGGCACUCUAAGGAGACUGCCGGUAGGACAAACCGGAGGGAAGGUGGGGAUGACGUCAAGUCAUCAUGGCCCUUACGGCCUGGGCUACACACGUGCUACAAUGGUCGGUACAAAGGGUUGCCAAGCCGCGAGGUGGAGCUAAAUCCCAUAAAACCGAUCGUAGUCCGGAUCGCAGUCUGCAACUCGACUGCGUGAAGUCGGAAUCGCUAGUAAUCGUGAAUCAGAAUGUCACGGUGAAUACGUUCCCGGGCCUU
This 296-nucleotide ribosomal RNA is filed under the name uncultured Pseudomonas sp. RNAcentral's name for it is "partial 16S ribosomal RNA". It matches the Rfam family "Bacterial small subunit ribosomal RNA", at positions 1091 to 1382 of the family's 1533-position model. The record is from RNAcentral. Lineage: Bacteria; Pseudomonadati; Pseudomonadota; Gammaproteobacteria; Pseudomonadales; Pseudomonadaceae.